GACGAACGCUGGCGGCGUGCCUAAUACAUGCAAGUUGAGCGCUAAAGGUUGGUUCUUGUACCCACUUGAUGAGCCGCGAACGGGUGUGUAACGCGUGUAGAAUCUGCCUUUGAGCGGGGGACAUCAUUUGAAAACGAAUGCUAAUACCGCAUAAACACUUUAAACACAAGUUUUAAGUUUGAAAGAUGCCAUUUCGUCACUCACUGAUGAUCCCUCGUUGUAUUAGCUGGUUGGUGAGGUAAAGGAUCACCAAGGCGAGGAUACCGAGCCGACCUGAGAGGGCGAGUGGCCAGACUGGGACGGAGACAGGGCCCAAACGCCCACGGGAGGCAGCAGGAGGGAAUCGUCGGGAAGAGACGAAAGAUAGACCGAGCAACGCCGAGUGAGGGAAGAAGGUUGUCGGAUCGGAAAAGACUGUUGGUAGAGAAGAACGUUGGUGAGAGUGGAAAGAAGAUUAAGUGACGGUAACGAGUAAGAAAGGGACGGCUAACUACGUG
This 497-nucleotide ribosomal RNA is filed under the name uncultured bacterium. RNAcentral's name for it is "partial 16S ribosomal RNA". It matches the Rfam family "Bacterial small subunit ribosomal RNA", at positions 28 to 507 of the family's 1533-position model. The record is from RNAcentral.